AAAAGGUGGCUAUGCUACCGCUUUUGGAUGGGCCCGCGGCGCAUUAGCUAGUUGGUGGGGUAAAGGCUUACCAAGGCAAUGAUGCGUAGCCGAACUGAGAGGUUGAUCGGCCACAUUGGGACUGAGACACGGCCCAAACUCCUACGGGAGGCAGCAGUAGGGAAUCUUCCACAAUGGGCGAAAGCCUGAUGGAGCAACGCCGCGUGGGUGAAGAAGGUCUUCGGAUCGUAAAACCCUGUUGUUAGAGAAGAAAGUGCGUGAGAGUAACUGUUCACGUUUCGACGGUAUCUAACCAGAAAGCCACGGCUAACUACGUGCCAGCAGCCGCGGUAAUACGUAGGUGGCAAGCGUUAUCCGGAUUUAUUGGGCGUAAAGGGAACGCAGGCGGUCUUUUAAGUCUGAUGUGAAAGCCUUCGGCUUAACCGGAGCAGUGCAUUGGAAACUGGGAGACUUGAGUGCAGAAGAGGAGAGUGGAACUCCAUGUGUAGCGGUGAAAUGCGUAGAUAUAUGGAAGAACACCAGUGGCGAAAGCGGCUCUCUGGUCUGUAACUGACGCUGAGGUUCGAAAGCGUGGGUAGCAAACAGGAUUAGAUACCCUGGUAGUCCACGCCGUAAACGAUGAAUGCUAAGUGUUGGAGGGUUUCCGCCCUUCA
RNAcentral lists this ribosomal RNA (653 nucleotides) under uncultured bacterium. Its description in RNAcentral is "bacterial SSU rRNA". It matches the Rfam family "Bacterial small subunit ribosomal RNA", at positions 202 to 842 of the family's 1533-position model. The record is from RNAcentral.